Molecule: long non-coding RNA, 279 nt
Filed under: Lathyrus oleraceus (garden pea)
Lineage: Eukaryota; Viridiplantae; Streptophyta; Magnoliopsida; Fabales; Fabaceae
Description: Pisum sativum (pea) long non-coding RNA (PSAT_LNC004329)
Source: RNAcentral
UUUAAUUCCUUGGAGUUAAGUACAUACUAUCCUCCUAUUUUUAUACUAUUCAUACAUAUUCUUCUUUUUGUAUUAACUGAUGUGUACUUAGAAUUUUGACUUUCUUUUUUUCUUUUUCUUUUUGCCGAAUCUCUAUGUUUUAACAUUGUUACAAUUUUUCUAACUUCCAUAAAUUGUUUUAGUUGACACUUUUUUAAUUCUCAGACUCUAGUAUCCCCAACCCUAAAAGUAAAACAUUUCAUAUUCCAGAAGAAACUCAAACUUAACCUUUUGCAUGUG